RNAcentral lists this ribosomal RNA (489 nucleotides) under uncultured bacterium. RNAcentral describes it as "bacterial SSU rRNA". It matches the Rfam family "Bacterial small subunit ribosomal RNA", at positions 501 to 989 of the family's 1533-position model. The record is from RNAcentral.
CUACGUGCCAGCAGCCGCGGUAAUACGUAGGGUGCGAGCGUUAAUCGGAAUUACUGGGCGUAAAGCGAGCGCAGACGGUUACUUAAGCAGGAUGUGAAAUCCCCGGGCUCAACCUGGGAACUGCGUUSUGAACUGGGUGACUAGAGUGUGUCAGAGGGAGGUAGAAUUCCACGUGUAGCAGUGAAAUGCGUAGAGAUGUGGAGGAAUACCGAUGGCGAAGGCAGCCUCCUGGGAUAACACUGACGUUCAUGCUCGAAAGCGUGGGUAGCAAACAGGAUUAGAUACCCUGGUAGUCCACGCCCUAAACGAUGUCAAUUAGCUGUUGGGCAACUUGAUUGCUUAGUAGCGUAGCUAACGCGUGAAAUUGACCGCCUGGGGAGUACGGUCGCAAGAUUAAAACUCAAAGGAAUUGACGGGGACCCGCACAAGCGGUGGAUGAUGUGGAUUAAUUCGAUGCAACGCGAAGAACCUUACCUGGUCUUGACAUCC